RNAcentral lists this ribosomal RNA (408 nucleotides) under uncultured bacterium. Its description in RNAcentral is "partial 16S ribosomal RNA". It matches the Rfam family "Bacterial small subunit ribosomal RNA", at positions 29 to 526 of the family's 1533-position model. The record is from RNAcentral.
AGUGAACGCUGGCGGCGUGCUUAAUACAUGCAAGUCGAAGGAAGUGGCGCACGGGUGAGUAAUAUAUAGCUAAUCAGCCCCUUGCUAGCGGACAACAGUCAGAAAUGACUGCUAAUACUCCAUAGAAAGGGAGGAGAGUAUAUCGUAUCAGCUAGUCGGUGGGGUAACGGCCUACCGAGGUUAUGACGCGUAACUGGUCUGAGGGGAAGAGCAGUCACAUUGAAACGGAGACACGGUAGAAACCCCUACGAGAGGCAGCUGUAGGGAAUAUUGCACAAUGCGGGAAACUCUGACGGAGCAACGCCGCGUGGAGGAUGACACUUUUCGGAGCGUAAACUCCUUUUGUUAGGGAAGCGGUACCUAACGAAUAAGCACCGGCUAACUCCGUGCCAGCCGCCGCGGUAAUAC